AAAAAAAAAAAUGAUAUUAGAAACCUCUAUCAUUUUUGAAGACCUAUCCAUAGAUACCCCACACGUAUGGGUUUGAUGAAAUUUUUUUUUUUUGAGCGAUUUAUGACGUAUUAAAAAAAAACUACUUACUAGAUCUCGUUCAAACCAAUUUUCGGUGGAAGUUUACAUGGUAAUAUACAUCAUAUAUUUUUUUUAGUUUUAUCAUUCUGUUAUUUUAGAAGUUACAGGGGGGGGGGGGGGGGGACACAUUUUACCACUUUGGAAGUGUCUCUCGCGCAAACUAUUCAGUUUAGAAAAAAAUGAUAUUAGAAACCUCAAUAUCAUUUUUGAAGACCUAUCCAUAGAUACCCCACACGUAUGGGUUUGACGAAAAAAAAAAUUUGAGGGAUUUAUGACGUAUUAAAAAAAAACUACUUACUAGAUCUCGUUCAAACCAAUUUUCGGUGGAAGUUUGCAUAGUAAUGUACAUCAUAU
This is a long non-coding RNA of Cydia amplana, 474 nucleotides long. RefSeq lists it as uncharacterized. The transcript has 3 exons. The record is from RefSeq and is a predicted model, not a curated record. NCBI's taxonomy places the organism in Eukaryota, Metazoa, Arthropoda, Insecta, Lepidoptera, Tortricidae.